ACACCUCAACUCUCAUGGUCUGCCAUGACGAGCUUGGACUUUGGGGGUCUUGCCGGCCUAGCAUCGGCUCCUCUCAAAUGGAUCAGCUUGCCAGUGUUUGGUGGCGUCACAGGUGUGAUAACUAUCUACGCUUGUGGUCUCUGCCAUGCAACCUCCAGUGAUGGGGGUUCGCUGGAGCUCACAGAUGUCUCUCCUUGGGGAAGACAGCUUUUUGAAC
RNAcentral lists this unclassified non-coding RNA (217 nucleotides) under uncultured Thelephoraceae. Its description in RNAcentral is "sequence contains ITS2". The record is from RNAcentral. Lineage: Eukaryota; Fungi; Basidiomycota; Agaricomycetes; Thelephorales; Thelephoraceae.